GCGCCGGUAGCUCAACUGGAUAGAGCGUUAGACUACGGAUCUAAAGGUUACGAGUUCAAAUCUUGUCCGGCGCGCCA
Molecule: transfer RNA, 77 nt
Filed under: Synergistaceae bacterium
Lineage: Bacteria; Thermotogati; Synergistota; Synergistia; Synergistales; Synergistaceae
Description: tRNA-Arg
Rfam family: tRNA
About the family: Transfer RNA (tRNA) molecules are approximately 80 nucleotides in length.
Source: RNAcentral